CUACACUCAUCCAGUCUUCCUCCACCAGUUGCAGUUGCUAUUUACAAUGAAGCGAGCUUCUCUUUCAAUACUCUUUCUUGCCUUUCUCUUCCUGUCCUCUGUGGCUUUUGCGCGUGAAUUGGUUGAAGAUCCGAACGAAGGCAAAGUCGGCUUCCCCUUCCCCAGAACCGUCCCCAAAAUCCCAUUCAAACCCGGCCCGAUCGUUAAACCUGUUCCCCGCAUAUACUCGUGCUAUAAUUGCCACCAAAGGGGUAUGAGCUGCUGCGGGACUCAUUGCUGCUCUGCGGAGGAGUAUGCUGAGUUCGUAAAAGCUCACAGCGUUCCGCGGAACUGAAAACUGCCGGCUGAUCCCUGUUUUCUCUUAUGAUUAUGAUGAUGAUGAUGAUAGUGAUAGUGGUUACGGUCCUUCUCAAUAAGAAAACGAGCAUGCUUGUUGCCUACUAGCAGUGCAUGCACGCAAGCUGUUCAUUUCCUAGCUCUUGUUGUCUGGAAAAACAUGUAGUAUCUACUUCUGCCUGUUGUAAUGCAAUUAAAUUUGCUGUGCAAA
Molecule: long non-coding RNA, 547 nt
Organism: Nymphaea colorata (pocket water lily)
Lineage: Eukaryota; Viridiplantae; Streptophyta; Magnoliopsida; Nymphaeales; Nymphaeaceae
Exons: 2
Source: RefSeq, a predicted model, not a curated record